Molecule: ribosomal RNA, 676 nt
Filed under: uncultured Dechloromonas sp.
Lineage: Bacteria; Pseudomonadati; Pseudomonadota; Betaproteobacteria; Rhodocyclales; Azonexaceae
Description: bacterial SSU rRNA
Rfam family: Bacterial small subunit ribosomal RNA
Source: RNAcentral
AGUGGCGAACGGGUGAGUAAUGUAUCGGAACGUACCUUUCAGUGGGGGAUAACGUAGCGAUAGUUACGCUAAUACCGCAUAUUCUGUGAACAGGAAAGCAGGGGAUCGAAAGACCUUGCGCUGAUUGAGCGGCCGAUAUCAGAUUAGCUAGUUGGUGGGGUAAAGGCCUACCAAGGCGACGAUCUGUAGCGGGUCUGAGAGGAUGAUCCGCCACACUGGAACUGAGACACGGUCCAGACUCCUACGGGAGGCAGCAGUGGGGAAUUUUGGACAAUGGGGGCAACCCUGAUCCAGCCAUGCCGCGUGAGUGAAGAAGGCCUUCGGGUUGUAAAGCUCUUUCGGCCGGGAAGAAAUCGCAUAGGCUAAUACCCUGUGUGGAUGACGGUACCGGAAUAAGAAGCACCGGCUAACUACGUGCCAGCAGCCGCGGUAAUACGUAGGGUGCGAGCGUUAAUCGGAAUUACUGGGCGUAAAGCGUGCGCAGGCGGUUUCGUAAGACAGAGGUGAAAUCCCCGGGCUCAACCUGGGAACUGCCUUUGUGACUGCGAGGCUAGAGACGCAGAAAGGGGGGGGUGAAAUUCCACGUGUAGCAGUGAAAUGCCGUAGAGAAUUGUGGAGAAACACGAAUGGCGAAGCAGCCCCCUGGCCGAUACUGACGCUCAUGCACGAAGCGUGG